RNAcentral lists this non-coding RNA (105 nucleotides) under uncultured Dolosicoccus sp. RNAcentral describes it as "FMN riboswitch (RFN element)". It matches the Rfam family "FMN riboswitch aptamer (RFN element)". Rfam says of the family: The RFN element is a highly conserved domain that is found frequently in the 5'-untranslated regions of prokaryotic mRNAs that encode for flavin mononucleotide (FMN) biosynthesis and transport proteins. This element is a metabolite-dependent riboswitch that directly binds FMN in the absence of proteins. Lineage: Bacteria; Bacillati; Bacillota; Bacilli; Lactobacillales; Aerococcaceae. The record is from RNAcentral.
AUCUUCAGGGCAAGGUGUAAUUCCUUUACCGGCGGUAGAGUCCGCGAGCGCAAGCUGAACUGGUGUAAUUCCAGUACCGACAGUAAAGUCUGGAUGAAAGAAGAG